Chrysemys picta bellii (western painted turtle) is the source of this 2372-nucleotide long non-coding RNA. RefSeq lists it as uncharacterized. NCBI's taxonomy places the organism in Eukaryota, Metazoa, Chordata, Testudines, Emydidae. The record is from RefSeq and is a predicted model, not a curated record.
CUGCAACAGCCGCUGCCUCAGCUCUAGCCCUCUGCCGGCCAGCACAGCGUCUCUGGUUUCCUAGCAGCAACAGCUGCUACUUCCGGGAGAGCUUUGUUUCAGGCAGAGACGCUGCCGCGGGGCCCUCUUAGGCGCGGGGCCCAAUUCGGGGAAAUCGGCCAAAUCGGCCUAAAGCCGGCCCUGGUUGCUGAGCUGGAAUAGUUGUCUCGAUGAUGCUCUGUCUUCGCUGCAAAGUAGCACAAAACCAUAACUCUUCACAGUACGAGGAAUUGGAGACUGGAACUCUGGCAUGACCUACCUGUGAUGCACUGGAUGCCUCAUACUCCCAAAUGUAAUGCAAUAAUCACCAUAAAGAGAAUCUAUUAACUCAAAUGCCAUGUCCCAAUAAAGAAGAUUCAAUCACAGGAGAUGUUUCUAUGAGUUUGAAGAGCAAUGCCCACUAGACUAUGAAGAAAUACUUCCUCUCAAAGUCAAAGUGUGUGCAGUUCUUCUUUUGACAUGACUGAUUAAUGACAUAUCAAGGGUGGAUACAAAUGUGCAUAAUGAUCCUGUGCCUCUCAAGUUUCUUCUGAAAUCAGGGGAAUUGGUAGAUGGCAUUUUCCAGGCAGCACGACAGGAGUGUUUUACGUGGUACAUUCUACCAGCAUCACAGAGGCCUGAUUCAAAGCCCACUAAAGUCUUUAGAAAGAGCAACUUUGGUGAACUUUUGUUUGAUCAAGUCCCAGAAGCAUGCUUCCAGAAUAUGAUACAAAGCGCAUUCAAACAGCACAGCAGCUGUGUUCCACCUGGACAUGUUAUAAGGUACAUUCACCAGAAAAGCAGUUAUAUUCUCCCUGGCCUUACACACGCAUACAGCACAAGAGCAGAUACAUUCUACUCAAAUAUAACAGAAGCAGUUUAAAAGUUUCACACACAAAAAUACACAUGACCUAUCCAUGUAAAAGAUUCCCAAAUGAAAAAAUGCCAAAAUGAAAAUAUUUACAUACAUACUUAUUAUAUUACAAUCCCUAAAAAUCACUCUCCUUAAAUACUGCUGCAUUGUCGAUGGGAGACCUUACCAACAAACCAUAAUGUUGUUUUUAUCUAUAGGAAAUAAGGCAGUUUGAGAUAUUUACUGUAUAGUACCUAAUGGAAACUUCAUGGCAACUCAAAUAAUCAUGUUUUAUUAAACAGUUUGAGUGCAGAAGAGUCUCACCACUUGCAAAAUAUGCCCAGCAUUUCAAUAAAACAUCACUUUACUGGAAACUGGUAAUUCUCUGGGUGAAGGACAUUAUCAUCUGAACAUUAAAAGGAAACUUGGAAGGGAGUGCAUCUUUUAUUUGUCAUUAGUUGGGAGUGAAGAUGGUGUUGCUCUUGGAAUAAUCAUAACUUUUACAGAAUUAAACUCAACUGUUUGGGUUUUUUUAAAGGGCUGCUAAAGUCUUAGAGUGAAAAUAAACACUGGAACUGAAAUCAAAUGUUUAUUUUGUUUCCACCGCACUUGACUCUGAUUCUGCUUUGUUAAGUUACUACUGACAGCUCAGCAGAAGUUUAAAAAAAAAAAAAGUAACACCAGAAGUAAAAUGACAAUGGCAAUUUCACAACUAUAUUAAAAGCCAGAAAAGUCCUUAAGAGACCUUUGGUCAAACAUUUUCAAAGAAUCACACUGAGCUUUAGUCACCAUCUUGACAUUCAUUGCAUGAGAGACAAGGUGGAUGAGGUAAUAUCUUUUAUUGGACCAGCUUCUGCUGGUGAGAGAGACAAGCUUUCAAGCUUACACAGAACUCAAAAGCAUCUCUCUCUCACCAGCCAACACUGGUCCAAUAAAAGAUAUUACCUCACUCACCUUCUCUCUCUAAUAUUCUGUGACCAACACUGCAUGUUGACAUUACAUGAUAUUUGUGGUAGGCUCACAGUUAAGUCCCUGCUUGCAGCUCUGAAAAUGCCCUGAAAUGUGUUUUUGCAUCUUCUAAAUCUCACCCAGCCCUGGCCGAUAUCCCAUACAAAGUCAAAUUUCUUCUUUUAAAUGAACUGUUUAGUACUAAUGAAAGGUGCUGGAUUAACAGCUCUAGAAACUAAGAGCAUGUCAAAAUGUGCAGUCAAUGCACAGCAAGCUGAGGUAAAAACCUACAGCGCUCCAGUGGGUCACAUGCUAAUGAGAUAAAAUUAUUCUGCUUAACUGCCAGGGGGCAAAUUUGUCCCGUACACAUGGAAGUUAUACAGCACAGUUAUAGCUAUGUCUUAACUCAGGAAGUUCCUUCAAGAGGAAAUGUAGCCAAACUCCAAACCUGCAGACAAUGGACCUUUUUGAGCCUGCGUCCUGUAGAUAAACUGCUUAGUUUGCAAAAUAAGUAAGGAGGAGGGGCAAGUAGAUGAACAAUAAGGGGUCAUAA